Molecule: ribosomal RNA, 902 nt
Filed under: Niesslia exigua
Lineage: Eukaryota; Fungi; Ascomycota; Sordariomycetes; Hypocreales; Niessliaceae
Description: LSU rRNA
Rfam family: Eukaryotic large subunit ribosomal RNA
Source: RNAcentral
GCAUAUCAAUAAGCGGAGGAAAAAGAAACCAACAGGGAUUGCCCCAGUAACGGCGAGUGAAGCGGCAACAGCUCAAAUUUGAAAUCUGGCCCCCAGGGCCCGAGUUGUAAUUUGCAGAGGAUGCUUCUGGCGCGGCGCCUUCCGAGUUCCCUGGAACGGGACGCCAUAGAGGGUGAGAGCCCCGUCCGGUCGGACGCCAAGCCUGUGUGAAGCUCCCUCGACGAGUCGAGUAGUUUGGGAAUGCUGCUCUAAACGGGAGGUAUAUGUCUUCUAAAGCUAAAUACCGGCCAGAGACCGAUAGCGCACAAGUAGAGUGAUCGAAAGAUGAAAAGCACUUUGAAAAGAGGGUUAAACAGUACGUGAAAUUGUUGAAAGGGAAGCGCUCGCGACCAGACUUGGGCGCGGCGGAUCACCCGGCGCUCGCCGCCGGGGCACUCCGCCCGCCCAGGCCAGCAUCGGCUCGCGCCGGGGGACAAAGGCGGCGGGAACGUGGCUCCCUCCGGGGAGUGUUAUAGCCCGCCGCGCAAUGCCCUGGCCGCGGGCCGAGGACCGCGCAUCUGCAAGGAUGCUGGCGUAAUGGUCGCCAGCGACCCGUCUUGAAACACGGACCAAGGAGUCGUCUUCGUAUGCGAGUGUUCGGGUGGCAAACCCCUACGCGUAAUGAAAGUGAACGCAGGUGAGAGCUUCGGCGCAUCACCGACCGAUCCUGAUGUUCUCGGAUGGAUUUGAGUAGGAGCAUACGGGGCCGGACCCGAAAGAAGGUGAACUAUGCCUGUGUAGGGUGAAGCCAGAGGAAACUCUGGUGGAGGCUCGCAGCGGUUCUGACGUGCAAAUCGAUCGUCAAACAUGGGCAUGGGGGCGAAAGACUAAUCGAACCUUCUAGUAGCUGGUUUCCGCCGAAG